GUUAACAAGAGCAAACUCCAUCUCAAAAAAAUAAUAAAAAAAAAAGAAAGAAAGAAAGAAAGAAAAUACGGCAGUCAAGCAGUUAGUGGUGGUUCUAAGAAUACUCUCAAUUAGCAGGGCAAAGGAUCAGGAAAAUGUGGUGGAAGCAGGUGUCCCUGAAGCUCCCAUGCAUCCAUCUGUCUCCACAUACAGUGGCUAUAAAACCUGACUAAUGCUUUCUUUACUUCUGCCUUCCAUAUCUCCUGCAAGUAGGCUAUUAGUGAAUUAUACCGUGGAGCCAUAAAAGGAAAUAGAAAACAUAGGUCAAAACAUUACCCAUGUUAACACAAUCUAGGACAGCCAUUUCCAGCUAUAGGUUAUAUGGUUCCAUCUCAGGUCUAUCUUAUUACUGCAAAGUCUAUUAUCCAAAUCACAGCUAGAAGGAAUUACAAAUAGCAAAGAACAGAAGAUGAAAAUAAUAAUUCCAAUGAGAGUCUACUAUAUGAUAAAUUUUGCAUACUCAAAAAUUUAUUAUGAUUGUUUCUUAUCAUGAAAAAAUAGAAAAAAGGAUACUCUGCCCUCCUCUAAAAAAGCUUCAUUUGGUCAGGAAAAAAGAUGAAAUACAUAUAAUGAUAUCUAGUACCUGCCACAUAAGGCCAGUAGGAAAUCCUAAAGAUUACCAAAUUGUUAUUUUUUGAUGGCCCCUUACAGCACAACUAAAAAUAUAUAUAUAAAAAUCUACUAGCUUAUUACAAAUACACUUCAAUUCACUCAUGAAUCUAACAGACUUCAAUAUGGAAAGACAAAAUUUCAGCAACUCAUUUAAUGAAAAAAUACUAUCAAUACAACCGUUUAAGAAGAGCUUACAGAAUUAUCUCAUCUCAAUGUUCUUUUGUGAAAGCAAUAAAUAGAAAUCCAUAGUUCAGAGAUCCACUUUCAGAAUGAGUAACUGAUAAUACAUUUAUAAGUUUUAUACCAUUUCUGUCGUGUGAAUUUUCUAGAACAAUAUACAUGAAUUAAUUUGUAUCAGGCUUUCCCAUAUUGUCUACAUUUACAUAAUACCUCCCUAUUGGGAGUUUCAAUAUGAGUUUGAAGUUUCACACAUAAGGGAGUAUUCACAUGAGCAUUUGUUAAAAUUGAAAACAUUGUUAUUUCUCACUUUUAUAGGAUUUCUAUCCAGUCUGCAUUCUCACAUAUAAGUAUGUGGGUCAACUGAAGGCUUUCUCAUAAUGCCUAUAUUCAAGAAGUCACUUUCCAGUACAAGUUUGUUCAUGGUUUCCAAGUAAACUGAGACAAAGGUUUUCCACAUCCUUUACAUUUAUAGGCUUUUCCAGGUUCUUUACAUUUUUAGGUUAUAAAUUCUUUACGUUUAUAGGGCAUAUGAAAAUUCCUUACAUUUCAUAUGCCUUCUCGUGGUCCUCAAAUAGUCAUAUGACCAUUGAAGGCUUUUCCACACUGCCUACAUUCGCAGGGUUUUCUGUCCAGUAUGAAUGCUUCCCCAUAUUCACACCUAGAGAAUUGAAGAUAUUCCCAUGUCUUACAUUCAUUCAUAGGGUUUCUCUGAAAUAUGAAUAAUUUCAUGUCUUCAAAAGGAAAUGGGGGCUGGGGGCGGUGGCUCACAUCUGUAAUCCCAACACUUUGGGAAGACGAGGUGGGUGGAUCAUCUGAGGUCAGGAGUUCGAGACCAGCCUGGCCAAUGUGGCGAAACCCCAUCUCUAUUAAAAAUACAAAAAUCAGCUGGGCAUGGUGGUUCACACCUGUAGUCCCAGCUACUCAGGAGGCUGAAGCAGGAGAAUCGCCUGAACCCAGGAGGCAGAGGUUGCAGUAUGCUGAGAUCACACUACUGCACUCCAUCAGGGCACCAGAGUGAGACUUCAUCUCAA
Molecule: long non-coding RNA, 1862 nt
Organism: Sapajus apella (tufted capuchin)
Lineage: Eukaryota; Metazoa; Chordata; Mammalia; Primates; Cebidae
Exons: 2
Source: RefSeq, a predicted model, not a curated record